RNAcentral lists this ribosomal RNA (878 nucleotides) under uncultured bacterium. RNAcentral describes it as "bacterial SSU rRNA". It matches the Rfam family "Bacterial small subunit ribosomal RNA", at positions 1 to 862 of the family's 1533-position model. The record is from RNAcentral.
UUAGAGUUUGAUCCUGGGUUCAGGACGAACGCUGGCGGCAUGCCUAAUACAUGCAAGUCGAACGCUGAAGCCACUCUGCUUGCAGAGUGCGGAUGAGUGGCGAACGGGUGAGUAACACGUGGGAAAUCUGCCUAGGAGUGGGGGAUAACAUUCGGAAACGGAUGCUAAUACCGCAUAUCUUUNUGAACCGCAUGGUUCUUAAACGAAAGACGGCUUCGGCUGUCGCUCUUAGAUGAUCCCGCGGCGUAUUAGUUAGUUGGUGGGGUAAAGGCCUACCAAGACCAUGAUACGUAGCCGACCUGAGAGGGUGAUCGGCCACACUGGGACUGAGACACGGCCCAGACUCCUACGGGAGGCAGCAGUAGGGAAUCUUCCACAAUGGGUGAAAACCUGAUGGAGCAAUGCCGCGUGAAUGAAGAAGGUCUUCGGAUCGUAAAGUUCUGUUAUUAGAGAAGAACAAGUCAAGGAGUAACUGUCUUGACUUUGACGGUACCUAACCAGAAAGUCACGGCUAACUACGUGCCAGCAGCCGCGGUAAUACGUAGGUGACAAGCGUUGUCCGGAAUUAUUGGGCGUAAAGGGAGCGCAGGCGGUUGGAAUAGUCUGAUGUGAAAGCCCACGGCUUAACCGUGGAAGGUCAUUGGAAACUGUCCAACUUGAAUACAGAAGAGGUAAGUGGAAUUCCAAGUGUAGCGGUGAAAUGCGUAGAUAUUUGGAGGAACACCAGUGGCGAAGGCGACUUACUGGUCUGUAAUUGACGCUGAGGCUCGAAAGCGUGGGUAGCAAACAGGAUUAGAUACCCUGGUAGUCCACGCCGUAAACGAUGAGUGCUAAGUGUUAGGGGGUUUCCGCCCCUUAGUGCUGGAGUUAACGCAUUA